GAGCAGGGAGUGAUCCGGGAAUUCACAUGAAGUACAUAGAAAAAAAAAAGUGAACUUUGAUAUUCAAAUAAGGGAAGUAACAUAUGACCUGCAUCUAAAUAGGUGUUGUAAAACUUGAACAUUCCAUAGUGAGUACUACUUGGAUCUACUUUAUGGCUAAAAAAACUUUCNAAAACUUGAACCUUUCAUAGUGAGUACUACUUGGAUCUACUUUAUGGCUAGUGAACUUGAGUCUUGAACUAACCACCUGUUAUAGUAGAAUAAAAAACAAGAAGUAUCACGCAUUUCAUAUCUAAGAAUAUAUCAUUUCUUACCGUUGUGUUCAUUUCGACCGUGAACAUUCCUUUCUUCAUGAGACUUUUAGAGAGCUUAGCCAUAUCAGUACCAAAGAUGCAACCUCACAUCCAUCUCACAUAGGUAAUGCUAAUCUGGAACAAUGUGUACUAUUCCAAUAUAAAAUCUAUCAGCAUUAUUAAGAAUAAAGAAUUCAUCCCUGUAUCAUCAAUGGUAAAAC
Molecule: long non-coding RNA, 514 nt
Filed under: Lactuca sativa (garden lettuce)
Lineage: Eukaryota; Viridiplantae; Streptophyta; Magnoliopsida; Asterales; Asteraceae
Description: long non-coding RNA (LSAT_LNC001286)
Source: RNAcentral